RNAcentral lists this ribosomal RNA (260 nucleotides) under Salmonella enterica. RNAcentral's name for it is "partial 16S ribosomal RNA". It matches the Rfam family "Bacterial small subunit ribosomal RNA", at positions 1256 to 1515 of the family's 1533-position model. The record is from RNAcentral. RNAcentral also lists the same sequence under 6 other names. Lineage: Bacteria; Pseudomonadati; Pseudomonadota; Gammaproteobacteria; Enterobacterales; Enterobacteriaceae.
CGCGAGAGCAAGCGGACCUCAUAAAGUGCGUCGUAGUCCGGAUUGGAGUCUGCAACUCGACUCCAUGAAGUCGGAAUCGCUAGUAAUCGUGGAUCAGAAUGCCACGGUGAAUACGUUCCCGGGCCUUGUACACACCGCCCGUCACACCAUGGGAGUGGGUUGCAAAAGAAGUAGGUAGCUUAACCUUCGGGAGGGCGCUUACCACUUUGUGAUUCAUGACUGGGGUGAAGUCGUAACAAGGUAACCGUAGGGGAACCUGC